Molecule: non-coding RNA, 38 nt
Organism: Schistosoma rodhaini
Lineage: Eukaryota; Metazoa; Platyhelminthes; Trematoda; Strigeidida; Schistosomatidae
Source: Rfam
UGUUGAGGAGUCCCACAAUAGGACGAAACGGCCGUCCA